Long non-coding RNA from Orcinus orca (killer whale), 3522 nucleotides. RefSeq lists it as uncharacterized. The record is from RefSeq and is a predicted model, not a curated record. The transcript has 7 exons. NCBI's taxonomy places the organism in Eukaryota, Metazoa, Chordata, Mammalia, Artiodactyla, Delphinidae.
CACGCUCGGAGCGCGUGCGCCCAGAGCGUUGACGGGGGCGAGUUGGGAGGUCAUCUGGGCCUCCUGGUAGCCUCCCUGAGUUCAACCAAUCCAGUGAGGAGAAGCCGUGGGCGGGGCGGCCUCGGCUGCCAGAGCGGCGUGAAAAAUUUCCCAAGGCAGAGCGAAAACCUUUCCUGAGCGACUGAGCAUGCCCGGUGGUGAAAGUAUAUUCCAUGCUUGGGGUGAAGACUUCUUUCUCUUGCUGGCCACGAAAAAGAAAGCACAAAGCUUCAGGACUGUUGGCUGCCAUCUUGGAGCUAUGAGGGGAACCAGCCUUAGAAUGAACCCAGAUGCUGAGGACAGUAGCACAGAGGAAUGGAAACAGCUUGCAUCUGUGAUGCCAUCUUUGAGCUGAUAACCAUACUGCAUCUGGAUCCGCAUUCAAUCUCUGGGUUUACAGUUACAGGAGGGUAUGUGGUUUAAACUCUCCACGGACUGACAAAAUCAGGUUUCUGACUCUGCAAAGCUAAGAAGACUCUGCUCCUGGAAGGCCUCUCCACUGACAGACUGAGUCAUAUUCGAAAUAUUUACCAACAGACUGAACAACUGAACAGAACAGACAACGUGCCUGGCUGUUACGCUGUCUAGGUGAAGGGAAGCCAAAUGACCAGCUCAAGGACCCAUGCUAGGUGGAACCACGAGGAGCACAGGACCCAGACCACAUGACUUCCAGCUUGCUGCAUUCCUCUUGGUCCAGUCAGAGCCUCCUUAGCUGUGGGCAGGCUGCUGGUCGUCGGAGAAGCUGCCUGCAGAGAUGCUGGGACACGCUUUUUAUGAACCAGGAAUCCAGGACAAAGGUAUACCUUGGGGAGAUUGCAAUUUUUGUUCCAGACCAUCACAAUAAAGGUCACCUCAAGAAGGAUUGGGAGAAAGUUAAAACAGCUGGGUGAGUCCAUUAACAACCAAUAAUCUGGGAAUGCUGCUGAAUGCUUUGAAACUGAAGUAGCAAUAACUCCCCACGGGUCCAUUAACCUGCAGCCAAAAUUAGAUUAUGUAGAAAUAACAUUAAAUAAAGAGCCACAGUCCUCAGUUAAUUGAAAGGCAAACUUGUGAAUUAUACGAUCAUUCUCUUUGAAAGGCAGAAUAUUCCAUCGCCCCAAGACCCUUGGGGCCAUUCUUGAGUGUCCGGCUUGAGGUUCAUUUUAGAGAAAACACAUUUCCUACAGGGACACUUUAGCAAUCUAUUCGUUGUAGAAAACAGUUUGAAAUGGGGAAAAUUAAGAGCUUUGGAAUGAGACCAAGGUAAGGCAGGUUUAAAUCUUGGAUCUGCCACAUCCUAGCUCUGGGACCUUAGGGAAGGUACUUAAUUCCUCUGAGUUCCAACCAUCUUGUCUGUUUACGAAGGAUGGUGGUGGUAGUAACAUGUAUCCCCCAGUCUUCUGAGUAAGGUUGGCAUGUAAAUAGAUCAUUGCUAUACAAAGAAGGGAGUACAUUGAAAGAGAGUAGUGUGGGAGCAUCCAGGGGACCAUCUCACCUGGCCAAGAUGAUUAAGAGAUGCCACCUGGGCUGAAUCAUGAAGAAUGAACAGGGGAAACUGGAUUAAGAGGUGGGCCACUAGUACUUGCCUUGGAAGUCACAUUUACUGGUACUAGGUCCCGAUUGCUGAAAACACAAGGAGAUGGAGGUCAGGUUACUGAUCAAACUCCCUCCUUUCUGCUCUCACUUCUUUCUAAGCUUCUGUAUUUACUUCCUUCUAUCCUUCCUACUAAAAUUCUCACGUUCCUUCUCAUCUUGGCUUCAGUGAAGCCCGAAGAAAACUGUCAGCAGCCAUUCUCUCGGGAUUGAGGGGAACAGAUCUUUUUGUCCUGUCUCUUCCUGGCGGCGCCAGUCCCUGCAGAGGACAGAACAUUGUCUCCAUUUCCCUCUGCCUCGGGCAGAUGGUGGAGAGUGCAGUGUAUUCCCACAAAGGAGCACGCUGUCCUUGCUCUAGAGUCUGUGGGCGAGUCCUACCACGGAAGGCAACCAGGACAAUUUGGAACUCUGCACCUGCCUUUUUAAAACACAGGAGCAUUCAUGACCCGCAAAAUCCCAUGGCUGACCCAUACCUGCAUGGGCCUGAGACACUAGGGACCGAGGUCUUAUGACAGGUGGCUCUGGGGAGUCACUGCACACUGAACACUGAUGGCGGUGGCAGGAGUGAUGCUCAUUAUCUCUAUUUUAUGGAUUAGGAAACUGAAGCUCAGAGAAGCUUGGUAAUGUUUUCCCAAAAUUACACAGCAAGAUUAGGCAGACAGAGGUGACAUGCCUGGUCUUCUGAAUCUAAAUCCAAUGCUCUUUCAUGAUGAUACCUUGUCCCUGUAUAUUCAUAAAUAUCUGGAUUUUGGGUAGAUAAACAACCUGGGAAUUUGAUUAUAUUUUUACUUCCUGGUUUUGGCUUUGCUUAUACCUAAAUUAAGAUCCAAUCUUUGCCAUGUAAAAUCUGCCCCGUCUUCUGUCAUUCUGUGUCUUCAGUGGGGGUACCACUCUCAUCCAAGAAAAAAGCCUGGUCAUCAUCUUAAACUCUACCUACUCCUCAAACCCACCCAAUCCUCUGCCCACCACUUACAACGCACCCCAGGUCCUGUAGAUUUGACUUUCCAAAUUCCUCCUGAGUGGUCCCUCCUCUCCUUUACCUCCCCCCAGGACACUGCCCUACCCCAGACUCUUUCUUGUCCAGUAAAGCACAACGACCUUCCAACGGGUUGCCUUUCUAACGAGUUUCCCCUCAACGAAUGCUCCAUUCAUCAGUGAGAUGAUCUUUCAACACCACAAUAAAUACUUUCAAUGACCAUUCAUUUCCUAAAAAAAGCAACUCUCUACAUAAGAACAUCUCUGAGCUAGGCAUGAUGCCACAGUCUGCACACAUCUCUAAUCCUUAAAAUAACUCUACAAAAGAAGUCUUGUUAUCCCAAUUUCACAGUUGGUAAGUAGCAGGUCAGGACCUCCAAUAAAGGGGGAUUUGACUGCUCAGCUGUGGUCUAUUCACUGUACCGCACCAGCUACCAGCUACCAGCUAAAAUCCAAUCUCCUUAGCAUCAAGUACAGCCUUGCCUCCUGCCACCAGAGCCCUCUCACGCCAUGUUCUCCAGACAUACCGCCCUUCCUGCAGUUCACCCAUCUCUCCAGGUGGUUUUGUAUUCCAUAGUUCCACACAUGCACUACCUCUUCCUGGAAGGCCUUUCUCUUUUCAACUGCCCUUCCAAACCUCACUCAGUGGGCAGCUAAGGUUCAAACUCAGGACAUUCUCACUCCAGUCUGUUCUCUUUCCCACUGUAGAGCCCUGCAUCCUUCCCACGUGGACAAUUUUUGAUUUGUUCUAGGUUAUAAUGCUGUAAUUGACAUGGAUGAGGAAAGGGAAACACCACUGGGGACUGUUUCACUGGGUAGUUAACGUAAAGGGAUAGGUCUUUGUUGGCUUCCUCUGGAAAAUUAUUUCAAGAUUUAGAUAGCUAGUGGGAAGCAGCCGCAUAGCACAGGGAGAUCAGCUCGGUGCUCUGUGACCAC